UGAGGAAUAUUGGUCAAUGGGCGAGAGCCUGAACCAGCCAAGUAGCGUGCAGGAUGACGGCCCUAUGGGUUGUAAACUGCUUUUAUGUGGGGAUAAAGUGCGUGACGUGUCAUGCAUUGCAGGUACCACAUGAAUAAGGACCGGCUAAUUCCGUGCCAGCAGCCGCGGUAAUACGGAAGGUCCGGGCGUUAUCCGGAUUUAUUGGGUUUAAAGGGAGCGUAGGCUGUCUAUUAAGCGUGUUGUGAAAUUUACCGGCUCAACCGGUGGCUUGCAGCGCGAACUGGUCGACUUGAGUAUGCAGGAAGUAGGCGGAAUUCAUGGUGUAGCGGUGAAAUGCUUAGAUAUCACGACGAACUCCGAUUGCGCAGGCAGCUUACUGUAGCAUAACUGACGCUGAUGCUCGAAAGUGCGGGUAUCAAACAGG
Molecule: ribosomal RNA, 424 nt
Filed under: Verrucomicrobiota bacterium
Lineage: Bacteria; Pseudomonadati; Verrucomicrobiota
Description: Verrucomicrobia bacterium partial 16S ribosomal RNA
Rfam family: Bacterial small subunit ribosomal RNA
Source: RNAcentral